CGGACCCAAAACAUGAACUUCUGCUUUGCGAUGCCAGAACAGUAGGUGGCGGUAUGUACCUACACUUUCUGACGGCAAAAUUUACAGAAGAAGAAGAACUCAAUCGACGUCGUUACAGGAGCACACACCUUCCAAUGCGCAUUUGUACAGCGAAACAACGGUAAGGAAAAUAUUAUUUUGGUCUCAGAGACAAUGCGCAUUGUACAGCGAAACAACGGUAAGGAAAAUAUUAUUUUAAUCACCGUUUGACGAGUAUGGCAUGGUCUCAGAGAUUGCAUUCGUGCUAUUUACAACGGCGAAGAACUUGUUUCAUGCGUGUGGAAUUUAGUUUUCUUUUCCUGUCGGCUCUGCGCUGCGGUGGAUUUGAAAAAUUUGCGGCCUCUUAAUGUCUGUGUUUAUGCGCGUGUGUUUUCGCCACGUGAGUGUAUUCUUUUCUUUUCUUCCAGAUGCAUAUUUCCGUUGUGAGCGAGGGAAAAUUGAUGAUAUUGUUAAGAGGUUGUUCUUAUUCAUUUGGAAAGCUCAAGAACAACAAUUAACCCAUACUGCAUAACUUCAAUUGUUCACAUUAUUUGCCUGUUUUUCAGCUUUUGAUCAAAGCACUGAAGGAGCAUGGCAUCAACCGGUUCAGAGCAGAGCUGAUGAUGGCCGGUGGCAACGCGUUUUAAGCCCCCCACCACACCGACGGCAGUGCUGAAUUUUGUAUAUAUAUAUAUUUUUUUUUACUGUUCACAAUUUUGUUUGGAAAAAAUUAAAGAAAUCUUCAAAGCAGUUGUAUGACAAUUUCCCAUUUCUUUACACAGUCUGUAAUGAUAUCGCUAUUCAAUUGUUUUUGC
This is a non-coding RNA of Xyrichtys novacula (pearly razorfish), 833 nucleotides long. The record is from the annotation of a GenBank genome assembly. NCBI's taxonomy places the organism in Eukaryota, Metazoa, Chordata, Actinopteri, Labriformes, Labridae.